AAAACAUGCUCUUCACUGGCCUCUUUCAUCCUCUGAUUAGUUUCCUGUGCUCACUGUCUCAAGAAACUACUUGUACUCAAACAAUUGUCUGAGGGUCUGAGGGAACCCAAACUAAGACAGCAGCUCUGGGAGAGCAAAGCUUCCAGGAUCCUGUUUGCACAAGGCCUCCUGGGCCUCCGGGGAGAAAUAGUGAGUAUGGCUUGAAGCUGGUGGCUGAGCCCAGAUUCCUGGCACCUGAAUCUUCAAGAAAAUUGGAUCUCACAGGAUGCCCUCAAGUAAAACCUGCAGGUUUUCAAGGAACUCAGCCUGAAGCAGGAGGGUUAGGACUCCCGUGCUGGAACUUUUGCAGGUUCGUGGGUUGGCAGGGAAGAAUCACGUUUUGCACCUGUUACUAGAUGCUACCAUUCAGCUCUCUUCCAUCUUGGCCCUGGAUGACAUGACCCACACUUGUCAAGAAUGGAUUGAACAUCAGGGCAUUUACCUUUUUUAUUGGCAAAGUAUCAAGUGUUUUAUAGGGCAAAUGCUGCCAUCCGCCCAGCUGUGCUCAGCGGUCACUGCCAGCAAGGAUGUUUCAGCUGGGACUCACACUGGGGUGGCCUGGGAAGGACUGAAAAGGAAUGCUUAUCAACGUGCUAAGAAACCAACCCCAACGAUAAAGGAAAUACCAUUUCUUAAGAGCAUGACCUAAAAAGUCCUCUUGAGGUCGCUAUUUCUGUCAUGACGUUUAAAUUUGUAAUUUCUGCUGCAA
This 748-nucleotide long non-coding RNA is filed under the name Equus caballus (horse). RNAcentral's name for it is "lncRNA (ENSECAG00000048607.1)". The record is from RNAcentral. Lineage: Eukaryota; Metazoa; Chordata; Mammalia; Perissodactyla; Equidae.